RNAcentral lists this ribosomal RNA (589 nucleotides) under uncultured Sulfurovum sp. Its description in RNAcentral is "bacterial SSU rRNA". It matches the Rfam family "Bacterial small subunit ribosomal RNA", at positions 28 to 635 of the family's 1533-position model. The record is from RNAcentral. Lineage: Bacteria; Pseudomonadati; Campylobacterota; Epsilonproteobacteria; Campylobacterales; Sulfurovaceae.
AGUGAACGCUGGCGGCGUGCUUAACACAUGCAAGUCGAACGAUGAAGCUCUAGCUUGCUAGAGUGGAUUAGUGGCGCACGGGUGAGUAAUGUAUAGCUAAUGUGCCCCUUAGAGGGGGAUAACAGUUGGAAGCGACUGCUAAUACCCCAUACUCCUUCUUCCUAUAAGGGAAGUUGGGAAAGUUUUUUCGCUAAGGGAUCGGGCUAUAUGGUAUCAGCUUGUUGGUGAGGUAAUGGCUCACCAAGGCUAUGACGCCUAUCUGGUCUGAGAGGAUGAUCAGACACACUGGAACUGAGACACGGUCCAGACUCCUACGGGAGGCAGCAGUGGGGAAUAUUACACAAUGGAGGAAACUCUGAUGUAGCAACGCCGCGUGGAGGAUGACACAUUUCGGUGCGUAAACUCCUUUUAUAUGGGAAGAUAAUGACGGUACCAUAUGAAUAAGCACCGGCUAACUCCGUGCCAGCAGCCGCGGUAAUACGGAGGGUGCAAGCGUUACUCGGAAUCACUGGGCGUAAAGCGCGCGCAGGCGGUCUUUUAAGUUGGAUGUGAAAUCCUAUGGCUCACCAUAGAACUGCAUCCAAAACUG